UACGUAGGGAGCAGGCGUUGUCCGGAAUUACUGGGUGUAAAGGGAGCGUAGACGGCUGUGCAAGUCUGGAGUGAAAGGCGGGGGCCCAACCCCCGGACUGCUCUGGAAACUGUAUGGCUGGAGUGCAGGAGAGGUAAGCGGAAUUCCUAGUGUAGCGGUGAAAUGCGUAGAUAUUAGGAGGAACACCAGUGGCGAAGGCGGCUUACUGGACUGUAACUGACGUUGAGGCUCGAAAGCGUGAGGAGCGAACA
This 251-nucleotide ribosomal RNA is filed under the name uncultured bacterium. RNAcentral describes it as "partial 16S ribosomal RNA". It matches the Rfam family "Bacterial small subunit ribosomal RNA", at positions 524 to 774 of the family's 1533-position model. The record is from RNAcentral.